RNAcentral lists this long non-coding RNA (1110 nucleotides) under Equus caballus (horse). RNAcentral's name for it is "lncRNA (ENSECAG00000044293.1)". Lineage: Eukaryota; Metazoa; Chordata; Mammalia; Perissodactyla; Equidae. The record is from RNAcentral.
CUCAGUAAUUGUAUGAAGAACACUUUUGAACCAACAGGUUACAAAUAUUAAAUAAUUUGAAGAAUUAUAUUACUACAUAUUAUUUUAGAAUAAUAGAAAUAAGAUUAUAAUAUAAUGUUAACAUUUCCAGGAUUGUUUGUUUAUAAGCUACAUGUCUGUUAAACAUUAAACAAUAACUAGUACUCAUAAUAUUAAACAAAAUAUAAUUUAAACACAAUCUUUGAUUUUUUAAUUAUUUAAUUUCAUUUAGGCCAUGAAUCUUUCUAGUAAAACAAUCUUGUUUGAGAAUUCUUCACUUCUUGUGAAGAUGAAUUAAUAGCCAUCUAAAAAUUACAUGAAGAAGAAAAUCUCCAAAAUAAUGUAACUACACCUACAAUAAAUCAUCUUCAAUUCAGACAAAAUGAUGUUUAUAAAAGUAUAAAGAAAAUAUUAGAGAAAAAGAUGUACCCCCAAAACAUAUUGAUUCUUAUGAAACACGCAAUUAAAAAGUGGUGCAGUGGUUCCAGUGUUUGGAUCCUGGGUGCAGACCUACAUAUUGCUCAUCAAGCCAUGCUGUGGUGGCAUCCCACACACAAAAUAGAGGAAGAUGGGCACAGAUGUUAGCUCAGGGACAAUCUUUCUUGGCAAAAAGUUUUUUUAAAAAAAGAACUUUAAAGGAAGCUUUAAGACAGAAAAUUCUUAGACGUUUGCAACUAUAAAUAUUGGAAACCCAAACAAAAUCUUGUUGAAAUAAUUGCUACUGACUGCCAACUCUUUCCAGUAGUCCAAAGUGAAGAAUUUUUGAGAGUUGCCAGGCUGAUUUUGUCCAUUUAUUCUGCCAGUGUAGCUCUCUGACAGCCAGUGGGCUGCAUUUGACAUCAUGGUUAUUCACAAGAUAAUGGAAAGCAUAGUAUUUCAAGCUUCAGCCAGCUUCUACCUGUUUGGCGCUCUUCCUAAAAUUUGUAACUCAAAUUAUAGGGAUUUCAACACUCCCCUGAGGAGAUGAUUUCAGGUGCCAGUACAUACAUUUUUUUCUAAUAUGCAAGAAUAAAUCCUCUUUUAAAAACUUUUAUCCGAGCAAUCAUAAGUACUAUUCAGGAUUUAAUGAGCCUGGUUUUCUCCCCUGUGGGG